UGGGGAAUAUUGGACAAUGGGCGAAAGCCUGAUCCAGCCAUGCCGCGUGUGUGAAGAAGGUCUUCGGAUUGUAAAGCACUUUAAGUUGGGAGGAAGGGCAGUUACCUAAUACGUGAUUGUUUUGACGUUACCGACAGAAUAAGCACCGGCUAACUCUGUGCCAGCAGCCGCGGUAAUACAGAGGGGGCAAGCGUUAAUCGGAAUUACUGGGCGUAAAGCGCGCGUAGGUGGUUUGUUAAGUUGGAUGUGAAAUCCCCGGGCUCAACCUGGGAACUGCAUUCAAAACUGACUGACUAGAGUAUGGUAGAGGGUGGUGGAAUUUCCUGUGUAGCGGUGAAAUGCGUAGAUAUAGGAAGGAACACCAGUGGCGAAGGCGACCACCUGGACUAAUACUGACACUGAGGUGCGAAAGCGUGGGGAGCAAACA
RNAcentral lists this ribosomal RNA (427 nucleotides) under uncultured bacterium. RNAcentral describes it as "partial 16S ribosomal RNA". It matches the Rfam family "Bacterial small subunit ribosomal RNA", at positions 355 to 774 of the family's 1533-position model. The record is from RNAcentral.